GGGUUGUGAGGUUAAGCGACUAAGCGUACACGGUGGAUGCCCUGGCAGUCAGAGGCGAUGAAGGACGUGCUAAUCUGCGAUAAGCGUCGGUAAGGUGAUAUGAACCGUUAUAACCGGCGAUUUCCGAAUGGGGAAACCCAGUGUGUUUCGACACACUAUCAUUAACUGAAUCCAUAGGUUAAUGAGGCGAACCGGGGGAACUGAAACAUCUAAGUACCCCGAGGAAAAGAAAUCAACCGAGAUUCCCCCAGUAGCGGCGAGCGAACGGGGAGCAGCCCAGAGCCUGAAUCAGUGUGUGUGUUAGUGGAAGCGUCUGGAAAGGCGCGCGAUACAGGGUGACAGCCCCGUACACAAAAAUGCACAUGCUGUGAGCUCGAUGAGUAGGGCGGGACACGUGGUAUCCUGUCUGAAUAUGGGGGGACCAUCCUCCAAGGCUAAAUACUCCUGACUGACCGAUAGUGAACCAGUACCGUGAGGGAAAGGCGAAAAGAACCCCGGCGAGGGGAGUGAAAAAGAACCUGAAACCGUGUACGUACAAGCAGUGGGAGCACGCUUAGGCGUGUGACUGCGUACCUUUUGUAUAAUGGGUCAGCGACUUAUAUUCUGUAGCAAGGUUAACCGAAUAGGGGAGCCGAAGGGAAACCGAGUCUUAACUGGGCGUUAAGUUGCAGGGUAUAGACCCGAAACCCGGUGAUCUAGCCAUGGGCAGGUUGAAGGUUGGGUAACACUAACUGGAGGACCGAACCGACUAAUGUUGAAAAAUUAGCGGAUGACUUGUGGCUGGGGGUGAAAGGCCAAUCAAACCGGGAGAUAGCUGGUUCUCCCCGAAAGCUAUUUAGGUAGCGCCUCGUGAAUUCAUCUCCGGGGGUAGAGCACUGUUUCGGCAAGGGGGUCAUCCCGACUUACCAACCCGAUGCAAACUGCGAAUACCGGAGAAUGUUAUCACGGGAGACACACGGCGGGUGCUAACGUCCGUCGUGAAGAGGGAAACAACCCAGACCGCCAGCUAAGGUCCCAAAGUCAUGGUUAAGUGGGAAACGAUGUGGGAAGGCCCAGACAGCCAGGAUGUUGGCUUAGAAGCAGCCAUCAUUUAAAGAAAGCGUAAUAGCUCACUGGUCGAGUCGGCCUGCGCGGAAGAUGUAACGGGGCUAAACCAUGCACCGAAGCUGCGGCAGCGACACUAUGUGUUGUUGGGUAGGGGAGCGUUCUGUAAGCCUGUGAAGGUGUGCUGUGAGGCAUGCUGGAGGUAUCAGAAGUGCGAAUGCUGACAUAAGUAACGAUAAAGCGGGUGAAAAGCCCGCUCGCCGGAAGACCAAGGGUUCCUGUCCAACGUUAAUCGGGGCAGGGUGAGUCGACCCCUAAGGCGAGGCCGAAAGGCGUAGUCGAUGGGAAACAGGUUAAUAUUCCUGUACUUGGUGUUACUGCGAAGGGGGGACGGAGAAGGCUAUGUUGGCCGGGCGACGGUUGUCCCGGUUUAAGCGUGUAGGCUGGUUUUCCAGGCAAAUCCGGAAAAUCAAGGCUGAGGCGUGAUGACGAGGCACUACGGUGCUGAAGCAACAAAUGCCCUGCUUCCAGGAAAAGCCUCUAAGCAUCAGGUAACAUCAAAUCGUACCCCAAACCGACACAGGUGGUCAGGUAGAGAAUACCAAGGCGCUUGAGAGAACUCGGGUGAAGGAACUAGGCAAAAUGGUGCCGUAACUUCGGGAGAAGGCACGCUGAUAUGUAGGUGAGGUCCCUCGCGGAUGGAGCUGAAAUCAGUCGAAGAUACCAGCUGGCUGCAACUGUUUAUUAAAAACACAGCACUGUGCAAACACGAAAGUGGACGUAUACGGUGUGACGCCUGCCCGGUGCCGGAAGGUUAAUUGAUGGGGUUAGCGCAAGCGAAGCUCUUGAUCGAAGCCCCGGUAAACGGCGGCCGUAACUAUAACGGUCCUAAGGUAGCGAAAUUCCUUGUCGGGUAAGUUCCGACCUGCACGAAUGGCGUAAUGAUGGCCAGGCUGUCUCCACCCGAGACUCAGUGAAAUUGAACUCGCUGUGAAGAUGCAGUGUACCCGCGGCAAGACGGAAAGACCCCGUGAACCUUUACUAUAGCUUGACACUGAACAUUGAGCCUUGAUGUGUAGGAUAGGUGGGAGGCUUAGAAGUGUGGACGCCAGUCUGCAUGGAGCCGACCUUGAAAUACCACCCUUUAAUGUUUGAUGUUCUAACGUUGACCCGUAAUCCGGGUUGCGGACAGUGUCUGGUGGGUAGUUUGACUGGGGCGGUCUCCUCCUAAAGAGUAACGGAGGAGCACGAAGGUUGGCUAAUCCUGGUCGGACAUCAGGAGGUUAGUGCAAUGGCAUAAGCCAGCUUGACUGCGAGCGUGACGGCGCGAGCAGGUGCGAAAGCAGGUCAUAGUGAUCCGGUGGUUCUGAAUGGAAGGGCCAUCGCUCAACGGAUAAAAGGUACUCCGGGGAUAACAGGCUGAUACCGCCCAAGAGUUCAUAUCGACGGCGGUGUUUGGCACCUCGAUGUCGGCUCAUCACAUCCUGGGGCUGAAGUAGGUCCCAAGGGUAUGGCUGUUCGCCAUUUAAAGUGGUACGCGAGCUGGGUUUAGAACGUCGUGAGACAGUUCGGUCCCUAUCUGCCGUGGGCGCUGGAGAACUGAGGGGGGCUGCUCCUAGUACGAGAGGACCGGAGUGGACGCAUCACUGGUGUUCGGGUUGUCAUGCCAAUGGCACUGCCCGGUAGCUAAAUGCGGAAGAGAUAAGUGCUGAAAGCAUCUAAGCACGAAACUUGCCCCGAGAUGAGUUCUCCCUGACCCUUUAAGGGUCCUGAAGGAACGUUGAAGACGACGACGUUGAUAGGCCGGGUGUGUAAGCGCAGCGAUGCGUUGAGCUAACCGGUACUAAUGAACCGUGAGGCUUAACCUUACAACGCCGAAG
RNAcentral lists this ribosomal RNA (2924 nucleotides) under Escherichia coli. Its description in RNAcentral is "23S ribosomal RNA". It matches the Rfam family "Bacterial large subunit ribosomal RNA". Lineage: Bacteria; Pseudomonadati; Pseudomonadota; Gammaproteobacteria; Enterobacterales; Enterobacteriaceae. The record is from RNAcentral.